Molecule: ribosomal RNA, 605 nt
Filed under: uncultured bacterium
Lineage: Bacteria
Description: bacterial SSU rRNA
Rfam family: Bacterial small subunit ribosomal RNA (bases 1-532)
Source: RNAcentral
CCUACGGGAGGCAGCAGUAGGGAAUAUUGGGCAAUGGAGGCAACUCUGACCCAGCCAUGCCGCGUGCAGGAUGAAGGCGUUAUGCGUUGUAAACUGCUUUUAUAUAGGAAGAAAUAGACCUUGCGAGGUAAGUUGACGGUACUAUAUGAAUAAGCACCGGCUAACUCCGUGCCAGCAGCCGCGGUAAUACGGAGGGUGCAAGCGUUGUCCGGAUUUAUUGGGUUUAAAGGGUGCGUAGGCGGUUUAUUAAGUCAGUGGUGAAAGACGGUCGCUCAACGAUUGCAGUGCCAUUGAUACUGGUAGACUUGAGUAUGAUUGAGGUAGCUGGAAUGGAUAGUGUAGCGGUGAAAUGCAUAGAUAUUAUCCAGAACACCAAUUGCGUAGGCAAGUUACUAAGUCAUAACUGACGCUGAUGCACGAAAGUGUGGGUAUCAAACAGGAUUAGAUACCCUGGUAGUCCACACUGUAAACGAUGAUAACUAACUGUUGGCUUUCGGGUCAGUGGUACAGAGAAAUCGUUAAGUUAUCCACCUGGGGAGGACGCGCGACGUAGAACGUAAAGUAGAGUAGAGNGNGAGAGNGCGAGACGACGACGAGGGAGGAGG